This 825-nucleotide ribosomal RNA is filed under the name bacterium EAB-4IL7.02. RNAcentral describes it as "bacterial SSU rRNA". It matches the Rfam family "Bacterial small subunit ribosomal RNA", at positions 26 to 865 of the family's 1533-position model. The record is from RNAcentral.
GGAACGAACGCUGGCGGCGUGCUUAACACAUGCAAGUCGAACGAUGAACCACUUCGGUGGGGAUUAGUGGCGAACGGGUGAGUAACACGUGGGCAAUCUGCCCUGCACUCUGGGACAAGCCCUGGAAACGGGGUCUAAUACCGGAUACUGACCUUCACAGGCAUCUUCAAUGGUCGAAAGCUCCGGCGGUGCAGGAUGAGCCCGCGGCCUAUCAGCUUGUUGGUGAGGUAGUGGCUCACCAAGGCGACGACGGGUAGCCGGCCUGAGAGGGCGACCGGCCACACUGGGACUGAGACACGGCCCAGACUCCUACGGGAGGCAGCAGUGGGGAAUAUUGCACAAUGGGCGAAAGCCUGAUGCAGCGACGCCGCGUGAGGGAUGACGGCCUUCGGGUUGUAAACCUCUUUCAGCAGGGAAGAAGCGAAAGUGACGGUACCUGCAGAAGAAGCGCCGGCUAACUACGUGCCAGCAGCCGCGGUAAUACGUAGGGCGCGAGCGUUGUCCGGAAUUAUUGGGCGUAAAGAGCUCGUAGGCGGCUUGUCACGUCGGUUGUGAAAGCCCGGGGCUUAACCCCGGGUCUGCAGUCGAUACGGGCAGGCUAGAGUUCGGUAGGGGAGAUCGGAAUUCCUGGUGUAGCGGUGAAAUGCGCAGAUAUCAGGAGGAACACCGGUGGCGAAGGCGGAUCUCUGGGCCGAUACUGACGCUGAGGAGCGAAAGCGUGGGGAGCGAACAGGAUUAGAUACCCUGGUAGUCCACGCCGUAAACGGUGGGCACUAGGUGUGGGCAACAUUCCACGUUGUCCGUGCCGCAGCUAACGCAUUAAGU